Molecule: long non-coding RNA, 265 nt
Filed under: Elaeis guineensis (African oil palm)
Lineage: Eukaryota; Viridiplantae; Streptophyta; Magnoliopsida; Arecales; Arecaceae
Description: long non-coding RNA (EGUI_LNC075499)
Source: RNAcentral
UGGUUCGAUGCCAACCUUGCACCUACAUCCACUUCUCAAGUUUCUACUUGAAAAUUCAAUCCACUAAAAGGAUUUCAAUAAAUACAACACGUCGGAUAACUCCGACCCUUACUAUCCAAGCAAGAACACUUAUUUUUCAAGUAUAAGCCGAUCCUCAACAAUCCAAUUUUAGGUUCGGAUCAAUCCAAUCGAGUUUUGAAAUCCCUCAAAACUCAAAAAAUCCAAAUAUAAUGUGAAUAAAAUAGAGUACAAAAAUUUCAGCACA